RNAcentral lists this RNase P RNA (413 nucleotides) under Acetobacteraceae bacterium. Its description in RNAcentral is "RNase P RNA component class A". It matches the Rfam family "Bacterial RNase P class A". From Rfam's summary of the family: Ribonuclease P (RNase P) is a ubiquitous endoribonuclease, found in archaea, bacteria and eukarya as well as chloroplasts and mitochondria. Its best characterised activity is the generation of mature 5'-ends of tRNAs by cleaving the 5'-leader elements of precursor-tRNAs. Lineage: Bacteria; Pseudomonadati; Pseudomonadota; Alphaproteobacteria; Acetobacterales; Acetobacteraceae. The record is from RNAcentral.
CCAGACGGCCGGACGGCCGCUGACCGCCGGGCUCGUCCCGGUGGUUGGAGGAAAGUCCGGGCUCCAUGGGAAGACGGUGCCGGCUAACGGCCGGCGGGGGCGACCCCAGGGACAGUGCCACAGAAAGCAAACCGCCCGCGCAAGGAGAAAACCUCCCCGCGGGCAAGGGUGAAAGGGUGCGGCAAGAGCGCACCGCGCCCCCGGCGACGGGGGCGGCACGGUAAACCCCACCGGGAGCAAGACCGAAUAGGGGCGGCCGGCUGACCCGCCAAAAGCGGGGGACGCAAGGGUUUCCCGCCCUGCCGCCCGGGUUGGUCGCGCGAGGCGCGCCGUGAGGCGCGUCCCAGAGGAAUGGCCGUCGCGCACCCCGUGAGGGGCGCGCACAGAACCCGGCUUACAGGCCGUCUGGCGCC